This 533-nucleotide ribosomal RNA is filed under the name Penicillium sp. H1. RNAcentral's name for it is "eukaryotic LSU rRNA". The stretch from base 200 to 352 matches the Rfam family "5.8S ribosomal RNA". The record is from RNAcentral. Lineage: Eukaryota; Fungi; Ascomycota; Eurotiomycetes; Eurotiales; Aspergillaceae.
GUGAACCUGCGGAAGGAUCAUUACCGAGUGAGGGCCCUCUGGGUCCAACCUCCCACCCGUGUUUAUUUUACCUUGUUGCUUCGGCGGGCCCGCCUUAACUGGCCGCCGGGGGGCUUACGCCCCCGGGCCCGCGCCCGCCGAAGACACCCUCGAACUCUGUCUGAAGAUUGUAGUCUGAGUGAAAAUAUAAAUUAUUUAAAACUUUCAACAACGGAUCUCUUGGUUCCGGCAUCGAUGAAGAACGCAGCGAAAUGCGAUACGUAAUGUGAAUUGCAAAUUCAGUGAAUCAUCGAGUCUUUGAACGCACAUUGCGCCCCCUGGUAUUCCGGGGGGCAUGCCUGUCCGAGCGUCAUUGCUGCCCUCAAGCACGGCUUGUGUGUUGGGCCCCGUCCUCCGAUCCCGGGGGACGGGCCCGAAAGGCAGCGGCGGCACCGCGUCCGGUCCUCGAGCGUAUGGGGCUUUGUCACCCGCUCUGUAGGCCCGGCCGGCGCUUGCCGAUCAACCCAAAUUUUUAUCCAGGUGACCUCGGAUCA